CUCUACGGUGGAACGGGAGGGGGACGCCUUCGUGCGUGCUGAUUCUUAGCUAUCAGUCUGCUAACCCGCUCUCGUUCUGCCACCAUC
Molecule: non-coding RNA, 87 nt
Filed under: Acinetobacter qingfengensis
Lineage: Bacteria; Pseudomonadati; Pseudomonadota; Gammaproteobacteria; Moraxellales; Moraxellaceae
Source: RNAcentral